This 69-nucleotide transfer RNA is filed under the name Rattus norvegicus (Norway rat). It matches the Rfam family "tRNA". From Rfam's summary of the family: Transfer RNA (tRNA) molecules are approximately 80 nucleotides in length. Their secondary structure includes four short double-helical elements and three loops (D, anti-codon, and T loops). Further hydrogen bonds mediate the characteristic L-shaped molecular structure. tRNAs have two regions of fundamental functional importance: the anti-codon, which is responsible for specific mRNA codon recognition, and the 3' end, to which the tRNAs corresponding amino acid is attached (by aminoacyl-tRNA synthetases). tRNAs cope with the degeneracy of the genetic code in two manners: having more than one tRNA (with a specific anti-codon) for a particular amino acid; and 'wobble' base-pairing, i.e. permitting non-standard base-pairing at the 3rd anti-codon position. The record is from Rfam by way of RNAcentral. Lineage: Eukaryota; Metazoa; Chordata; Mammalia; Rodentia; Muridae.
GGGGAUUUAGCUCAGCGGUAGAGCGCUUGCCUAGCGAGCACAAGGCCCUGGGUUCGAUCCCCAGCUCCG